Long non-coding RNA from Dreissena polymorpha, 1384 nucleotides. RefSeq lists it as uncharacterized. The transcript has 2 exons. The record is from RefSeq and is a predicted model, not a curated record. NCBI's taxonomy places the organism in Eukaryota, Metazoa, Mollusca, Bivalvia, Myida, Dreissenidae.
ACUAGUUCGCUAACAACUGACUGUACAUUUAUCGCCAAGACAAUAUUCAAGUUGGACUGUACAACGACUUCUAGUGCAGUAAUAAUCCGGUAUGCGCUGAUUAAUCAUUGUGUUGCACACGUUCAUAACGAGGCAAUGAUAAUGAAGGAUUAAUUCAUUUAUGAAUAAAAUAAAUCACGAACAUUUAAAAUGUAUGGUUACUUCUUAAUCUUCAACUUUUAUUGCGUCUAGUUUCAACGCUCAACUGCCGCCGAUGCCGCAAACGAGAACAAAGCCCAUGACGACUACGACGGUUACAAUGUGCAGAAUCAACGGGGUUUUCAGGGGUUUACACACGGGUUGGACAGAAUGUAAACCCAGCGUUAAGAACUUUAUUCGGCGUAGCUGUUUAACGUCACUUUUGACCUUAGGUGACCUUUAGGUUACAUUCAUAAAAGUGCCCGCGGUUACCCACGAAUGAAUACACUUCAUUUAGUCCAUUGGCUGAUUUGAGAAUACCACCAUAACAUUGGAAACAUGGCCGCGUCUUUCUUACACUGUUUUUCUGCGUGUUCAGCUUUAAACAAUAUUAUCUCUUAUGAAAAGGCAUGAUGGAUAGAACAGUUUUACACUCAACUCUUCAUAUCAAUACAAUUUGUGGGUAUAUUCUACACCUUCGUCAGUUCGCGGUUAGUGUGUGUGAAUGUCAGAGUUUAUAUAAAGGUCAUCGCUGCAUCUUCACGACUACCUUAUGUGCUGACCGGAGUUCGCGGCCAGUAAAAUAAUCGUUAUAGAAUAAAGACGCUAUAGCGUGAACUAGGUGAACUGACCAGAAAGAUGGUAAAUGAAGAUAUCCAGCGACAUAAUUAUGGUCGAAGAAAAAGAGGACUGGCCACAUUUUCAAAAGAGAUAAGCGAAAGUAAUUAUUCCCAGAACUGGAAUCCACCCUGCCACAGAAAAGGGAGAUGUCCGGUACCUACUGGAGAAGUUCUCAAGAAGCAGAUUUUAAACCUCUACGUCCUUCAUGGUGUUUAACAAAGCACACAGUUCAAUUAAGAACCAAAUGUCAAGUAACGGCGAAGAUUGUGUGCCCAAAGUUGGGCGAAGAGGAUUAAAUAAUUAUCUAAAUGCGGUAUUGACAAUAAUUGUUCAUUUACUUUUGAUUGAUUUUCUUUUUGCCAGCAAACAUUCCUGCAUCAACAUGAAUCAGCCAUUGUAAGUAGUGUUAAACUAAUGGAACAAAUGCAACACAACUCAAUAAUUGGCUAUUGUUUCAGAACUCAAGGGAGUUGUUGGUAUUUCACAAUUCAAUGUAAAACAACCUUCUGGAGUCGCGAGUAUUUGUUGUGGAACAAUAGCGUUAUCUUUGUUUCAGCGAAAAAAAUAAAAAAUAGAUAAACAAGAA